This 418-nucleotide ribosomal RNA is filed under the name uncultured eukaryote. Its description in RNAcentral is "bacterial SSU rRNA". It matches the Rfam family "Eukaryotic small subunit ribosomal RNA", at positions 1242 to 1671 of the family's 1831-position model. The record is from RNAcentral.
GACGGACUGAAGGCUCUUUCUCGAUUCCGUGGAAAGUGGUGCAUGGCCGUUUUUGGUUGGUGGAUCGAUCCGUCUGGUUAAUUCCGUUAACGAACGAGACCUCGGCACUCCGAAUAGCGCGGCGGACGUCGCGGCCUCCGGGCCGUCUUCCGCACGAGCUUCUUAGAGGGACCGUCCCCCGCCGGGGAAGGAGGUGCGAGGCAACGACAGGUCUGUGAUGCCCUUAGAUGUUCUGGGCCGCACGCGCAUUACACUGACGCGUCCAACGGGUGACUCCCGACCCGAAGGGGCCGGGGAAUCCGCAAGGCGCGUCGUGAUGGGGAUUGAACGUUGCAAUUGUUGUUCACGAACGAGGAAUUCCUAGUAGGCGCGGGUCAUCAACCCGCGCCGAUUACGUCCCUGCCCUUUGUACACACCG